GAUGAACGCUGGCGGCGUGCCUAAUACAUGCAAGUCGAGCGAACGGACGAGAAGCUUGCUUCUCUGAUGUUAGCGGCGGGCGGGUGAGUAACACGUGGAUAACCUACCUAUAAGUCUGGGAUAACUUCGGGAAACCGUAGCUAAUACCGGAUAAUAUUUUGCACCGCAUGGUUCAAAAGUGAAAGACGGUCUUGCUGUCACUUAUCGAUGGAUACGGGCUGCAUUAGCUAGUUGGUAAGGUAACGGCUUACCAAGGCAACGAGGCAUAGCCGACCUGAGAGGGGGAUCGGCCACACUGGAACUGAGACACGGUCCAGACUCCUACGGGAGGCAGCAGUAGGGAAUCGUCCGCAAAGGGCGAAAGCCUGACGGAGCAACGCCGCGUGAGUGAUGAAGGUCUUCGGAUCGUAAAACUCUGUUAUUAGGUAAGAACAUAUGUGUAAGUAACUGUGCACAUCUUGACGGUACCUAAUCAGAAAGCCACGGCUAACUACGUG
Molecule: ribosomal RNA, 497 nt
Filed under: uncultured bacterium
Lineage: Bacteria
Description: partial 16S ribosomal RNA
Rfam family: Bacterial small subunit ribosomal RNA
Source: RNAcentral